GCCUUCCUCACUAGGUUAGCAAGCCUGUUUGUGAAGAUGCUCUUCUCUCUUUUUGCCAGGUGGAUCCCAUCUCUUCCUAUCAAUCCUUCUUCUUGGAAGAUCAUGCAUUGAUCUGCAGGAUGCACCUACUCCUGCUCAGGCCCAUCCCCUUGACUAGAAGGAUCAAGAAUAACACCUGAGCCUCACAUUUUAUAUUGGAUAAUCUUCCCAUCACCAUUAUAUCUUCACAAUUUCCAUUUAAAACCAUGUGGAUUGAAUGCUUUUUGAUGUCCUAGAGAAGGCUGGCUGCCUCUUGCUCAAGAAUAUUUCCAUUGAAAUCAGAACACCCCCCUUGCCCCUGCCCCCCACCCCAAAAAAGGAUGGGAUUCAGGAAACAAUUUUCAGACCAUAAGACUGCCAAAAGGAAAGAACACAGACACAGCAUCUCCAGCAUAAGCAAGAGUUUCAGUGGAACUUCUCCAUACAAGAAGAAAACACUGGAGGUGAUGAAAAUGUCUUCCAAUUUUUCCUUACUAGAACUAUAUAAAUUCACUUCCAGAUCUGGUUUAAAGCCAGAUUCUCUGCGGAUAGAGGCCUGAAAUUUCCAAAAGUUCUGGGUUUAAGAAACUUUUCCUCCAAAAAUCUAAUUCUAGUGAGGUCCUUUAAACCAAAUCAUUUUGGAGGUUUAUACUAGUUCAAAAAGGGUUUACACAGUUUUUUUUUUUUUUUUUUUUUUUUUUUCUGGAACUAGAAGGGGGACUAGUGGCUGUAAUGCUAUGUUUACUUGCAGUUUAUAAUUUUAAUUUUCUUUGUGUUUUUUAUAGAGCUCCAGGCUGAACAUAGUUCCUGGUAAACAUAGAAGAGACAUAGCUGGAACUCAAACUAUAUGGAAGCCAGUUGUGUUUGGAGUUGAAGUUCUUGUCUUUAAUGAGCACUACUUGCUUAAGAAGGAUUGCACUAUAUUAUGAAACUGGUCCAUUUGGAAAACAUCAUGCAACUUGCUCCUUUUCCCAGAAAAUCUAGAUUGUACUAAAAUAGGCAUA
This 1022-nucleotide long non-coding RNA is filed under the name Crocodylus porosus (Australian saltwater crocodile). RNAcentral's name for it is "lncRNA (ENSCPRG00005014806.1)". The record is from RNAcentral. Lineage: Eukaryota; Metazoa; Chordata; Crocodylia; Crocodylidae.